This 253-nucleotide ribosomal RNA is filed under the name uncultured bacterium. RNAcentral's name for it is "partial 16S ribosomal RNA". It matches the Rfam family "Bacterial small subunit ribosomal RNA", at positions 524 to 776 of the family's 1533-position model. The record is from RNAcentral.
UACGAAGGGGGCUAGCGUUGUUCGGAAUUACUGGGCGUAAAGCGCACGUAGGCGGAUCGAUCAGUCAGGGGUGAAAUCCCAGGGCUCAGCCCUGGAACUGCCUUUGAUACUGUCGAUCUGGAGUAUGGAAGAGGUGAGUGGAAUUCCGAGUGUAGAGGUGAAAUUCGUAGAUAUUCGGAGGAACACCAGUGGCGAAGGCGGCUCACUGGUCCAUUACUGACGCUGAGGUGCGAAAGCGUGGGGAGCAAACAGG